This is a long non-coding RNA of Populus trichocarpa (black cottonwood), 802 nucleotides long. RefSeq lists it as uncharacterized. The record is from RefSeq and is a predicted model, not a curated record. Lineage: Eukaryota; Viridiplantae; Streptophyta; Magnoliopsida; Malpighiales; Salicaceae. The transcript is spliced from 2 exons.
AAAAAAAAACACAAGUGAAAGGCCCUUAAAAAGGCACUCCUCCCCUUUGCGAUAAACACCGGCACUAACAACACCACCAACCUACCAUUAUCAAAAAGCCAUCUUAAAGCUGACCUUGUAACCCUUCUCUUCACAAAAACUUGCUUCUAAUGAACAUCUAAAACACCAUACAUAUUCCUGCAAGGAUUCUAAGCAUCCAAACAACCGAUAAGAUCAUGUGGCGCAAGUUGGCUAGAUUGAGGAGCAACGUUCAAAACAUUAGGAAAAGCCCACGAGUAGCUGAUGAGAGCAUGUUUGGAGUCAUGAACGGAGCUGAAUUUCCAAUCCUUGUUCGUGAUAUGAACAGAACACAAAGCUGGAAUGCCCUUUCUGCCCUGCUUAGAAUUGUUCUUGCACCAUUUUCAAUUCCUUCUUGCUUCUCAUCACAACCUCAUGUCCAUGGUGCUGAUGGUCUCUGGGUGACUGGUGAGUUUGCGCAGCUAUCAGAGAUGAAUCAUCUCAUGGUAAAUGACAGCAUGCGCUAUGCAAUCUUGAUGUAGACAUUGAGCUGCCCAUUUAUCUCUUGCGCGAAUAAUAAUGAUGAUAAUAAUGGUUGACGCCUUCAAAAAACGAGCAUGUGAUGAUUUUGGAGUCAUCAUGAGAGGAGGCUAGUGGGAUUGCUGGAGAGUGUUAUAAGAAGAAAGGCUAAUAAAAGAGCAACUUGUGUCCAUGUUUAGUGCGACAUGAGAAAAAAAACAAAACAGGUCAACCUCUCCCUGCAACUUCUUGAUAAUUUUCAUAAUGGGAACAGUUGGUUAUAUGA